GACGAACGCUGGCGGCGUGCUUAACACAUGCAAGUCGAACGGAAAGGCCCUGCUUUUGUGGGGUGCUCGAGUGGCGAACGGGUGAGUAACACGUGAGUAACCUGCCCUUGACUUUGGGAUAACUUCAGGAAACUGGGGCUAAUACCGGAUAGGAGCUCCUGCUGCAUGGUGGGGGUUGGAAAGUUUCGGCGGUUGGGGAUGGACUCGCGGCUUAUCAGCUUGUUGGUGGGGUAGUGGCUUACCAAGGCUUUGACGGGUAGCCGGCCUGAGAGGGUGACCGGCCAAAUUGGGACUGAGAUACGGCCCAGACUCCUACGGGAGGCAGCAGUGGGGAAUAUUGCACAAUGGGCGGAAGCCUGAUGCAGCAACGCCGCGUGCGGGAUGACGGCCUUCGGGUUGUAAACCGCUUUCGCCUGUGACGAAGCGUGAGUGACGGUAAUGGGGAAAGAAGCACCGGCUAACUACGU
This 467-nucleotide ribosomal RNA is filed under the name uncultured bacterium. Its description in RNAcentral is "partial 16S ribosomal RNA". It matches the Rfam family "Bacterial small subunit ribosomal RNA", at positions 28 to 506 of the family's 1533-position model. The record is from RNAcentral.